CCUGGCUAAGACUGUCCUU
RNAcentral lists this unclassified non-coding RNA (19 nucleotides) under Mus musculus (house mouse). RNAcentral describes it as "oocyte_clustered_small_RNA2697". Lineage: Eukaryota; Metazoa; Chordata; Mammalia; Rodentia; Muridae. The record is from RNAcentral.